UACGGAGGGUGCAAGCGUUAUCCGGAUUCACUGGGUUUAAAGGGCGCGUAGGCGGCUUGCCAAGUCAGGGGUGAAAUCCUGCAGCUUAACUGUAGAAGGGCCUUUGAUACUGGCGAGCUCGAGGGAGGUAGGGGUAUGUGGAACUUCCGGUGGAGCGGUGAAAUGCGUUGAUAUCGGAAGGAACGCCGGUGGCGAAAGCGACGUACUGGACCUCUUCUGACGCUGAGGCGCGAAAGCUAGGGGGGCAAACGGG
This 253-nucleotide ribosomal RNA is filed under the name uncultured bacterium. Its description in RNAcentral is "partial 16S ribosomal RNA". It matches the Rfam family "Bacterial small subunit ribosomal RNA", at positions 524 to 776 of the family's 1533-position model. The record is from RNAcentral.